GCUUAGCCUAAACACAGAUAAUUACAUAAACAAAUUAUUGCCAGAGUACUACC
This 53-nucleotide ribosomal RNA is filed under the name Chordata environmental sample. RNAcentral's name for it is "partial 12S ribosomal RNA". Lineage: Eukaryota; Metazoa; Chordata. The record is from RNAcentral.